AGUAGACGCUGGCGGUAGGCCUAACACAUGCAAGUCGAACGGCAGCACAGUAAUAGCUUGCUCUUACGGGUGGCGAGUGGCGGACGGGUGAGGAAUACAUCGGAAUCUACUUUUUCGUGGUUGAUCACGUAGGGAAACUUACGCUAAUACCACAUACGACCUACAGAUGAAAGCAAGGGAUCUUCGGACCUUGCGCGAUUGAAUGAGCCGAUGUCGGAUUAGCUAGUUGGCGGGGUAAAGGCCCACCAAGGCGACGAUCCGUAGCUGGUCUGAGAGGAUGCUCAGACACACUGGAACUGGGACACGGUCCAGACUACUACGAGAGGCAGCAGUGGGGAAUAUUGGCCAAUGGGCGCAAGCCUGAUCCAGCCACACCGCGUGGGUGAAGAAGGCAUUCGGGUUGUAAAGCCCUUUUGUUGGGAAAGAAAAGCAGAAGGUUAAUACCCCGCUGUUCUGACGGUACCCAAAGAAUAAGCACCGGCUAACUUCGUG
RNAcentral lists this ribosomal RNA (492 nucleotides) under uncultured bacterium. Its description in RNAcentral is "partial 16S ribosomal RNA". It matches the Rfam family "Bacterial small subunit ribosomal RNA", at positions 29 to 507 of the family's 1533-position model. The record is from RNAcentral.